UAGCCGUAAACGAUACUCGCUAGGUGUCGGCCACGGUGCGACCGUUGUCGGUGCCGUAGGGAAGCCGUGAAGCGAGCCACCUGGGAAGUACGGCCGCAAGGCUGAAACUUAAAGGAAUUGGGCGGGGGAGCACAACAACGGGUGGAGCUUGCGGUUUAAUUGGAUUCAACGCCGGAAAUCUUACCGGGACCGACAGCAACAUGAAGGCCAAGCUGAAGACUUUGCCGGAUUAGCUGAGAGGAGGUGCAUGGCGUCAGUGACU
Molecule: ribosomal RNA, 262 nt
Filed under: uncultured archaeon
Lineage: Archaea
Description: partial 16S ribosomal RNA
Rfam family: Archaeal small subunit ribosomal RNA
Source: RNAcentral